AUACGGGGGGUGCAAGCGUUACUCGGAAUCACUGGGCGUAAAGCGCGCGCAGGCGGGCUGAUAAGUUGGAUGUGAAAGCCUACGGCUCAACCGUAGAACUGCAUCCAAAACUGUCAGUCUAGAGUCUGGGAGGGGAAGAUGGAAUUAGUUGUGUAGGGGUAAAAUCCGUAGAGAUAACUAGGAAUACCAAAAGCGAAGGCGAUCUUCUGGAACAGUACUGACGCUGAGGCGCGAAAGCGUGGGGAGCGAACAGGAUUAGAAACCCUAGUAGUCC
RNAcentral lists this ribosomal RNA (274 nucleotides) under uncultured bacterium. Its description in RNAcentral is "partial 16S ribosomal RNA". It matches the Rfam family "Bacterial small subunit ribosomal RNA", at positions 523 to 796 of the family's 1533-position model. The record is from RNAcentral.